UCACUCUACCCGAAAGAGAAGGAUCGCCA
Molecule: non-coding RNA, 29 nt
Filed under: Mus musculus (house mouse)
Lineage: Eukaryota; Metazoa; Chordata; Mammalia; Rodentia; Muridae
Source: RNAcentral